This 465-nucleotide ribosomal RNA is filed under the name Vreelandella stevensii. Its description in RNAcentral is "partial 16S ribosomal RNA". It matches the Rfam family "Bacterial small subunit ribosomal RNA", at positions 338 to 795 of the family's 1533-position model. The record is from RNAcentral. Lineage: Bacteria; Pseudomonadati; Pseudomonadota; Gammaproteobacteria; Oceanospirillales; Halomonadaceae.
CCUACGGGCGGCAGCAGUGGGGAAUAUUGGACAAUGGGCGAAAGCCUGAUCCAGCCAUGCCGCGUGUGUGAAGAAGGCCUUCGGGUUGUAAAGCACUUUCAGUGGGGAAGAAAGCCUUGGGGCUAAUACCCUCGAGGAAGGACAUCACCCACAGAAGAAGCACCGGCUAACUCCGUGCCAGCAGCCGCGGUAAUACGGAGGGUGUGAGCGUUAAUCGGAAUUACUGGGCGUAAAGCGCGCGUAGGCGGUCUGAUAAGCCGGUUGUGAAAGCCCCGGGCUCAACCUGGGAACGGCAUCCGGAACUGUCAGGCUAGAGUGCAGGAGAGGAAGGUAGAAUUCCCGGUGUAGCGGUGAAAUGCGUAGAGAUCGGGAGGAAUACCAGUGGCGAAGGCGGCCUUCUGGACUGACACUGACGCUGAGGUGCGAAAGCGUGGGUAGCAAACAGGAUUAGAUACCCUUGUAGUC